AACGAACGCUGGCGGCAUGCCUAACACAUGCAAGUCGAACGAGACCUUAGGGUCUAGUGGCGCACGGGUGCGUAACGCGUGGGAACCUGCCCUUAGGCUCGGAAUACCUCCCCGAAAGGGGUGCUAAUACCGGAUAAUGUCUUCGGACAAAAGAUUUAUCGCCCUUGGAUGGGCCCGCGUUGGAUUAGCUAGUUGGUAGGGUAAAAGCCUACCAAGGCGACGAUCCAUAGCUGGUCUGAGAGGAUGAUCAGCCACACUGGGGCGGAGACACGGCCCAGACUCCUACGGGAGGCAGCAGUGGGGAAUAUUGGACAAUGGGCGAAGGCCUGAUCCAGCAAGGCCGCGUGAGUGAUGAAGGCCUUAGAGUUGUAAAGCUCUUUUACCCGGGAUGAUAAUGACAGUACCGGAAGAAUAAGCACCGGCUAACUCCGUG
Molecule: ribosomal RNA, 433 nt
Filed under: uncultured bacterium
Lineage: Bacteria
Description: partial 16S ribosomal RNA
Rfam family: Bacterial small subunit ribosomal RNA
Source: RNAcentral